Long non-coding RNA from Haliotis rufescens (red abalone), 339 nucleotides. RefSeq lists it as uncharacterized. The record is from RefSeq and is a predicted model, not a curated record. The transcript is spliced from 3 exons. NCBI's taxonomy places the organism in Eukaryota, Metazoa, Mollusca, Gastropoda, Lepetellida, Haliotidae.
CCUACAUAUAUUCACAUCGAUGUUUCAGACAGCUGUGGAUGCGGUAUUCGUUUAGAGUGAAAACUGAUCAGUUUCAAUACGUAAAAGCUUCAAUUUUAUUUAGCCGAAAUUAUCUCGCUCUUUCAAAUUCUAAUAUCAUUGAAGACAAAGCAUCAGGCCUUUCUUCGAUCAAAGCCAAAGCAUCAUCGUCCAAUUUUCUUUCCUCAACCAGGUGAAAAUGUCAUCUGGGAUGAAGACAAUUUCCAUGUCAAUGAUUUUCUUGACCUUCUUGGUGGCAUGUGAUUCGAAAAUCUAUGAAUUAACUUUUAAAAGAGCACACGCUCGUCCAAGUCACAUAAC